AUUCGAUUAGAGUUUGAUCAUGGCUCAGAACGUACGCUGGCGGCACGCCUAACACAUGCAAGUCGAACGAAGUAGCAAUACUUAGUGGCAGACGGGUGAGUAACAUGUAGGUAUCUUCCCUUUGGCCUGGAAUAACACGAGGAAACUUGUGCUAAUACUGGAUAAGUCUUUACGGAGAAAGCUUUAUGCACCAUUGGAUGAGCCUGCACUUGAUUAGUUUGUUGGUGGGGUAAUGGCCUACCAAGACUUUGAUCAAUAGCUGAUUUGAGAGGAUGAUCAGCCACAUUGGGACUGAGACACGGCCCAAACUCCUACGGGAGGCAGCAGUGGGGAAUCUUGCACAAUGGAGGAAACUCUGAUGCAGCGAUGCCGCGUGAGUGAAGAAGGCCCUUGGGUUGUAAAGCUCUUUCGUCGGGGAAGAAAAUGACUGUACCCGAAUAAGAAGGUCCGGCUAACUUCGUGCCAGCAGCCGCGGUAAUACGAAGGGACCUAGCGUAGUUCGGAAUUACUGGGCUUAAAGAGUUCGUAGGUGGUUGAAAAAGUUGGUGGUGAAAUCCCAGAGCUUAACUCUGGAACUGCCAUCAAAACUUUUCAGCUAGAGUUUGAUAGAGGAAAGCAGAAUUUCUAGUGUAGAGGUGAAAUUCGUAGAUAUUAGAAAGAAUACCAAUUGCGAAGGCAGCUUUCUGGAUCAUUACUGACACUGAGGAACGAAAGCAUGGGUAGCGAAGAGGAUUAGAUACCCUCGUAGUCCAUGCCGUAAACGAUGUGUGUUAGACGUUGGAAAUUUAUUUUCAGUGUCGCAGCGAAAGCGAUAAACACACCGCCUGGGGAGUACGACCGCAAGGUUAAAACUCAAAUGAAUUGACGGGGACCCGCACAAGUAGUGGAGCAUGUGGUUUAAUUCGAAGAUACGCGCAGAACCUUACCAACACUUGACAUGUUCGUCGCGACUUUAAGAGAUUAAAGUUUUCGGUUCGGCCGGACGAAACGCAGGUGCUGCAUGGCUGUCGUCAGCUCGUGUCGUGAGAUGUUGGGUUAAGUCCCGCAACGAGCGCAACCCUCACUUUUAGUUGCCAUCAUUAAGUUGGGCACUCUGAAAGAACUGCCAGUGAUAAGCUGGAGGAAGGUGGGGAUGACGUCAAGUCCUCAUGGCCCUUACGUGUUGGGCUACACACGUGCUACAAUGGUAUUUACAACAGGAAGCAAGACGGCGACGUUAAGCAAAUCCUCAAAAAAUACCUCAGUUCGGAUUGCACUCUGCAACUCGAGUGCAUGAAGCUGGAAUUACUAGUAAUCGUGGAUCAGCGUGCCACGGUGAAUGCGUUCCCGGGCUCUUGUACACACCGCCC
Molecule: ribosomal RNA, 1349 nt
Filed under: uncultured bacterium
Lineage: Bacteria
Description: bacterial SSU rRNA
Rfam family: Bacterial small subunit ribosomal RNA
Source: RNAcentral